RNAcentral lists this ribosomal RNA (398 nucleotides) under uncultured bacterium. Its description in RNAcentral is "bacterial SSU rRNA". It matches the Rfam family "Bacterial small subunit ribosomal RNA", at positions 122 to 507 of the family's 1533-position model. The record is from RNAcentral.
AAACCCACCUCUUAGCAGGGAUAACAUUUGGAAACAAUGCUAAUACCGUAUAAUAAUUAAAAACCGCAUUGGUUUUAGUUUAAAAGAUGGUCUUGCUAUCACUAAGAGAUGGUCCCGCGGUGUAUUAGUUAGUUGGUGAGGUAAUGGCUCACCAAGACAAUGAUACAUAGCCGAGUUGAGAGACUGACCGGCCACAAUGGGACUGAGACACGGCCCAUACUCCUACGGGAGGCAGCAGUAGGGAAUCUUCCACAAUGGACGAAAGUCUGAUGGAGCAACGCCGCGUGUGUGAUGAAGGGUUUCGGCUCGUAAAACACUGUUGUAAGAGAAGAAUGACAUUGAGAGUAACUGUUCAAUGUGUGACGGUAUCUUACCAGAAAGGAACGGCUAAAUACGUG